Molecule: long non-coding RNA, 280 nt
Organism: Macrosteles quadrilineatus (aster leafhopper)
Lineage: Eukaryota; Metazoa; Arthropoda; Insecta; Hemiptera; Cicadellidae
Exons: 3
Source: RefSeq, a predicted model, not a curated record
GUGCGUGCCAACCAGGACAGUCGAAGUGUGUCAAGUCUGUGCUAGUGCCUGCUUUCGUAUUUUCAUUAUUGAAUUUUUGAGACUACGUUGUGUAUUGUUUUAAAAUAACUCUUCACCCGACGAUCAAGACACAAACUAGGAACGACCAUCAAGACCAACUCAUAUUUUAAUUUUACUGAAUUGAAGCAAAUUCCCGCGUUGAAGAGAAGCCGACCAGACCAAGAUGGCGGCGUUUGUGGCGAAGCAGAUGGUGGGGAACAAGCUGAACGCUGUUAAAGGU